RNAcentral lists this ribosomal RNA (83 nucleotides) under Photorhabdus sp. S8-52. RNAcentral describes it as "partial 16S ribosomal RNA". It matches the Rfam family "Bacterial small subunit ribosomal RNA", at positions 1454 to 1533 of the family's 1533-position model. The record is from RNAcentral. RNAcentral also lists the same sequence under 2 other names. Lineage: Bacteria; Pseudomonadati; Pseudomonadota; Gammaproteobacteria; Enterobacterales; Morganellaceae.
UGACCACUUUGUGGUUCAUGACUGGGGUGAAGUCGUAACAAGGUAACCGUAGGGGAACCUGCGGUUGGAUCACCUCCUUACCU